AUUAGUUGUCAUCCACCUUGAAUUAUUAGCUAUCGUGAUUGGCCUGUGCUGAGUUAGAUCUUGGCCAAUCACAGGGCUUCACUUUGAACUUUAUAGAUUAGUUUGGUGGCGUCUUAACAGUAGAGUAGGAGCUUCAUUUGUUAAAUGUGAAAGUUUGUGUAAUUAUUUAUAAAAUGACCCUCUGCCUGGUUUUUGGAUGACCCCACAUCUGCUUUCAUUCUGGAUGAUGAAGGAGGGAGACGUGUCCGGAGGCAGGAGGAGAGGAAGGUAAAGAGAGUGGAACUGAGGGUAGGACCUUUGAAUGGAUGUGGUGAGAGAGGACAUGCAGGUGAUGGGUGUAACAGAACAAGAUGCAGAGGACAGAAAGAUAUGGAAGAAGAUGAUCCGCUGUGCCAACCACUAGCAGGAGCAGCCGAAAGAAGAAGAAGUAUCGGUGUAUACAAAUUGGCUAUAAUGAAAAAUGCAAUGAAGUUUACUAGUACAAGCAGCUAGCACCUUGAAAUGGGCAUAUUAAGAAUGAUGUCCUUGAGAGAGAAUGUUGCAGCAGAUGUUAUAAGUACUGACGACUGUUGCAGCCUAUUGAAUUUAUUUUAAUUAGAUGAUGCCUCUGUACUUAGGAUUAAGCUCUGUACCACUAGUCCACGAUUUAGUAUGGACUGGGCCAGCUAGUCUCUAAAAUACGAGCCAAUUUCUGUACAUUUGGCCACAAUUAAAGGUCACUUCCUUCUAGGUGAAAGCAGUUUUGUUUUAAUUCAAGGAAAAUACCUUUGAAAUUAGCAUUCCAACUGAACUGUUAUGCACAUUUAAAUACUCAAUGUCUGUAAUGAAUAAAGAUAAAUUAAAAGUUGCUGUGCCCUUUCUUCUGUUUUCCACUUGCAUUUCAUUUGUACCCAGUAAAAAGCGAAAAUGUUGAAGUGGAAUAAACCAACAAUUAAGAAA
Molecule: long non-coding RNA, 939 nt
Organism: Erpetoichthys calabaricus (reedfish)
Lineage: Eukaryota; Metazoa; Chordata; Cladistia; Polypteriformes; Polypteridae
Exons: 2
Source: RefSeq, a predicted model, not a curated record